This 327-nucleotide long non-coding RNA is filed under the name Trifolium pratense (red clover). RNAcentral's name for it is "long non-coding RNA (TPRA_LNC004688)". The record is from RNAcentral. Lineage: Eukaryota; Viridiplantae; Streptophyta; Magnoliopsida; Fabales; Fabaceae.
AGAGAAGAGAGAGAAAAAAACAUUACAAAUGAAAAAAAUUUGGGAAAACAGAAAUACAUAUGUCAUUGGACCCAAUGCAUGUGUUACAUAUUGCUUCUAGUUACCUCCUCUGCAUCACAACCAACACACUUGCCAUGUGAAACUUUGCAUGUGUGACAUAUAUAUGGUUUCAAAGUUGUAUGUGGAACAUGAUCAUUGGGCCAAGACAAGCACAUGGUGGCAACAUACAAUUGGAUAUGAGGCAAAUGUGUUAAGCACUAAUUGGUUAGCUAAUUAGGGUUUCCAAUUAGGGUUGCAAAGUUUAUCAACCUUUAUAUAUAUAUAGAU